This 465-nucleotide ribosomal RNA is filed under the name uncultured bacterium. Its description in RNAcentral is "partial 16S ribosomal RNA". It matches the Rfam family "Bacterial small subunit ribosomal RNA", at positions 28 to 507 of the family's 1533-position model. The record is from RNAcentral.
GACGAACGCUGGCGGCGUGCUUAACACAUGCAAGUCGAACGGAAAGGCCCCUUCGGGGGUCCUCGAGUGGCGAACAGGUGCGUAACACGUGAGUAACCUGCCCUUGCCUUCGGGAUAACUUCAGGAAACUGGGGCUAAUACCGGAUAGGAAUCCUUGCUGCAUGGUGGGGGUUGGAAAGCUUCGGCGGUUUUGGAUGGACUCGCGGCUUAUCAGCUUGUUGGUGGGGUAGUGGCUUACCAAGGCUUUGACGGGUAGCCGGCCUGAGAGGGCGACCGGCCACAUUGAGACUGAGAUACGGCCCAGACUCCGACGGGAGGCAGAAGUGGGGAAUAUUGCACAAUGGGCGGAGGCCGGAUGCAGAAACGCCGCGUGCGGGAAGACGGCCUUCGGGUUGAAAACCGCUUUCAGCAGGGGCGAAGCUUGUGGUGACGGUACCUGCAGAAGAAGCACCGGCUAACUACGUG